GAGAAAUCUUUCAAAAAUGGCCAUAACAAGGAACAUUGAUAUUAGAAUAGCAGUAGCUACGAACCCAAAAGAAACAGCAUUGACAGAGUUAUCAAAAUGUCUCCAAUGCUCUUCUCUUUGUAAAUUCAAAGGAGACACAAUUGGUGGUGGCACUGUGCCUGUGCCCCAGCUACCACCUUCAUCCCCACCCAUUUGAGACUAUGCACUAUCUUAUUAUUUAACGAAGCUCUGUGUCUGCCGCCUUCUCUUUCUUCCUCUCUGUCAUUAAACACAACUGUCCUGCUCUUCAUGGCGUCCUCAUAGUAUUAUAAGGACUCUCUCUUCACUGUUACUUAAACUUAGUGGGUAUAACAUUAAAACAAGCUUAUUACACUGUAAAUAAGGAUUAACAAAGAAAGGAGUUGGAGGAAGGGGUUCUUCUAUCAAUCAAGGCUUUUAUGAUGGCCGCAGGAGUAGUGUUUCUAAGGCAAAGUUG
RNAcentral lists this unclassified non-coding RNA (475 nucleotides) under Hevea brasiliensis (rubber tree). The record is from RNAcentral. Lineage: Eukaryota; Viridiplantae; Streptophyta; Magnoliopsida; Malpighiales; Euphorbiaceae.